This 8739-nucleotide long non-coding RNA is filed under the name Marmota monax (woodchuck). The record is from RNAcentral. Lineage: Eukaryota; Metazoa; Chordata; Mammalia; Rodentia; Sciuridae.
ACCGGGGCCACUGAGCUUGAGCUGAGCAGGGAGUCAGACCAACCUGUUUCUGGAUGGGGCAGGAGCUCUAGAGCCAUUGCUGUUGCAAGAGACAGUUCACACAAGAGCCCAGGAGACUACGUUCCCAGCAUGUGAGCAUCUUCUUGGGGACCAACUGAGAAAGAGUUGGGUGAAGGUGGUGGUGUGAGGGGUCAUAAGUCUCCCCCAAAUUCAGUGUUGUUGAUGUCAUAGGGACCCUGUUGUAUUUACAAGGUAGGUAUAGCUGGGCAAAUAUAAGUGUAUCUUGUGCUCUGGAGACUUGGCAAAUAUUGUGAUUCACUUCCUAUUAUCUCUCGAGUGAAGGAAAGUCCCCAGAGGCCAGGACCCAAAGAGAUGAGUCCUAAUUUGGCCUAGGCACCUCAAAGAUGCAAGUCACCCACUUGAGAAAAUUGGGCACCUGAAGGGUCAUUAGCAGACACCAGAGGUCUGACCCCACACCUCUCUGCUGAGAAGAGGAACUGUAAUCCAGGAAGGGGAUCCUAUUCCUCAUCCAAAGGAGGAGCUUGGGGGAUGGGAGCAUUGGUGAGCACCAGCCUCAGAAAGAAAAGCAGAGAUGGAGAGCUUAGAGGAGCUGCCAGGGACUAUCCUAAAGAGGACCCAGCAUGGAGAGCCUAAGAACUUUGUGAUAUUUUAUACAUUUUGGAAGAAUACAUGUGUGGUUGUUUGUUGCUUAGUGAGGCCUGUGGGUUUGUCUUUGGGGUGGCAAAGUGUUAGAACACAAAGCCAUUCUCAGAAGAGGAACCUGUAAGAUCAACUGUGGGGCAGUAGUAUGAAAGAAUGCAAGUCCCUGGGCUGGGAGGGAAAUCCCAGUCCAGGUAAGGACUGACCUUGGGGCCUCUACUUCUUGGCAGAGGAAGGGCCAUGUUGGUCUGUAGCAGGUCCUUUAGGGCUGGAGCUCCUGAAUCUGCUCCAGCCUGUUCAUCCUAAGUAUUGCUGCUAUCUUGGUCAAGGACAUCACCAUUGCCUGGUAUCCCGGGUUAGAAAGUCAAGUUCCUUUUGUGAUGUAUCCUUUAGUCCAUAGAGAAUGAACUUGUAUUGACGUGAGUGUCCUGUGCACUGUGUUGGGGGCUUUACAGGUAUCUUUGCAUUCAAUCCUCUUAAUAACCCUGUGAGAUGGGCAUUGUUACUCUUGUUCAAGUAAUGAAAUUAAUAUUUUGCAAGUGGUGAAACUAGUGUUGAGAUUAAGUAACUGGUUCAAACUUAAACUAUGUCUGAUGUCAGAAGCCACAUUCUCUCUAUCCCCAUAUUGCUUCUUAGGGUUCUCUGCGUUUGUUAUCCUGCAAGAUCAGUGUUUCUGCAGGAAUGAUACCACAACUACCUGCCUCACAAUCACUUGGAAGCUUGUUGGGAAGAGUUAUGGACUGAGUCCAUAUCCGUGGAGUCAGAACCUUUGUGCAGUGCCACCCCUGGCCUUUCUAGAAAGUUUUCAAUAUAUUCCAAUGUCACUAAUGCCCAAGACCUUCAUGGGUGGCCUAUGACCAUCUCUAAGAUUCUGGGGAAUGCAUAGUCUCCAGAGAUUGUGGAGAUGGUCUGAUUUCAAGAAUUGAGUUGUUCUUGCCACCUGCUUGGAAUCCUUUUGUAAGAGAAGAAUGAAACAGGGGAGUCAAGGAUUGACCCUGCAUGACUGGUACUGUUAGGGUGACAAUAGUCAGAAUUGGAGCUGCAGUGUCACCCAGACAGGACAUUGGAAUCUUGGUAGCAAGCCACAAAGCAGGGACCUCUCCCACCUGGAUCCAUCCCACGUUUGCUGAUCAUAGUCACUAGUUAUAAAAGAUGUUAUAUAUGUUCAAGUUAGAUUUUGGGAACAUUUCAGAGUGAACUUUGAUCCACAGAGGAGGCCAUUGAAGCAGCUGCCAUUUUGAAAUGUUUAUUAUUUGUUAGGCACUUUGCAAAGUGCUGUGCCUGUAGCAUCUAUUAGCCUUAUGAGUUGGAUAUUAUUAUUCCAAUUUGUUUGGUACAGAAACUGAGGUUUGGACCUCAGUUAAAUAAAAUAAAAUAGUAAAUAAAAUAUAAAUAUUUUAUAAAUAAAUGAAGUCCCAUAGUUUGGGGCUGAGGAUGUAGCUCAGUGGUUAGAGCAUUCACCUAGUGUGUGUGAGGUCCUGGGUUCAAUCUUUAGUAGCACUAAGUAAAUAAAAGUCACAUAGCUUAUAACUGUUGGAGGCAGGAUCAAAUAUAGCCUAUGGUACUUGUUAUUCAGGAGCUGACUACCCAAGGAUACUAGGCCUCAGUGAAUCUGUCUCUUGAUAUUUUAGCUGAAUAAAUCAACCAAACUUUCAGCCAAUUGAUGUUCAUAUUAUAUUGAGCUAAGACUCUACUAGUUGCUGUAGGCCCCUCAACAGGGUAAAAGGAGAUAUCUGCUCCCCAAAAACAUAUUGUGUAAUUAAGAAAAUGACUAUUAUGCAAAAAACCCCCAAAACUCUGUAAUGACUCAAAUGGGCUUUUGCUCUGCAGUCCUGUGUGUGUGCAUGAUUUUUAGAGUGUGUGCAUGUAACAGUGUGUAAUGAGGAAGGCUGUGAGAUGAGAAGAAGGGCUAGGAGGAGGGGUGAGGGAAAGUGAUGUGGCUUCAGAACCUAGCCCCAAAGGCAUAGGGAACUCAGUGUCCUGCCCUGCUGGUGCGAUAAGAGAAUUCUCUGGGGAGGUCACAUGCAAAGUCAAGCAGGCAGCAUGUUAGUCUAUCUAGGGAGCUUUAAAAAGACACCAAGGCCUAUCUAAAGAUACUGAUUUAAUUGGGCCAGGCUGGGGAUCCCAGACAGACAAAUAGUUUUUGGAAGUCCCCUGUGAGACUCAUUAUGCGUCUUCAGACUGAGAACUGGCAAGGGCAUGCUUUCUGUGGCCCCCCUGGUUUGAAUGCCAGCCAUAGCUCUUUCAACAGACUUCUUGGUGCUGGGUCUCCUUGUUCUCUCCCUCGUGUGACCGAGAGGCUAGAUGACCAUGCAUUCGCCUGCUCAGAGAGGCCACCACCUGUUGCUGUAAAUCUGGUGUUUCAUCAUCUCUUUGCCCAUGUAUUUUCAGAGUCUUAUGAGUCCAUCUGGAUUGACAAGCUGUUGUUUUCUGCCUGGUAGCAGCUUGUACAGUCACAAGGGGAUGUGGUGUCAUCGGGACUGUGUCCUGUGGACACAGGCUGGGUGAGCAAUGUGAUAAUCACCUUUGCUUGUUAUUGACCAGAGUGGCUUGCACAUGGCUUCUCUUUUUAAAAUUUUUUAUUGGGUAAAAGUCUUGAACAGAUCACUUUUAUAAAGGCCUACUGAAUCCUAACCAAUGCAGGGGUAUUGCCCCUAUAGGGGCAUUUUGGUGAGAUCAAUCCUGGAGGAAAUGGUGGAGAAUCUUCCUAAAGUAACCUGAAAGAGCAAAUGUGUGGAAAGGAGGAGCUUCAUAGAUGGGUGCCUUAUGUUGCGUCUCUUCUUCUCUCCCUAUUGUAUAUGUUUUUUCUGAACCAUGUGAGAGCUAAGGGCAGUUGUCCAGAUCAUUUAUCCCUAAAUACUUCAGAAGUUUAUUUCCUACCAACAGCAUGUUAAGACAGUGGUUCUCAGUCUUGGGUGCACACAUUAAAAUCUAAUUGCAUAGGAGAAUCUUCUGGUGAGCUUAAAAAAAAAAGUCCCAGGCUAUACCCUGGGGACAACUGGGUAAGGGUCCAGGUCACGGGACCCAACACUGAUAUUUUUUAAAUCUUCUCAGAUGAUCCCAAGAUACAGCCAUGGUUAAGAACCCCUGAGUCAAGGAUAAGAGAGGCUUGAAAAUAAGAAGACACCUGAUAUGUUGCAAGGAAGAAAGAAGAGUCAGAAGGCAAGGUUGGGGAGUAGUCACAGACAACAGCUUUGGAGAGUAAUAGUUAAAUCCAGCCACUUCCAAGGACUUGGCUUAGCCUUAAGAAACCGAUGGCCAACCUCCAAACAUCCUCACAAUCCCCAGUUCAUGAGCCAUUUGUGUCAUGUGGUCCAGGGCACAUGUGAGGGCUGAUAAUGAGAACAGCACCCUGAUGCUUCUGUGCCCCUUACCCCAGGGAGAAAGGAAGGGGCUUCACGAUUCUCUAUGUAGUGAACGAUCCCCAUGGAGGAUUCUUCUGUGUAAUUAGAUUUUAAUGUGUGCACCCAAGACCACUGCCUUAACCUGUUGUUUGUAGGAAAUACACUUCCAAAGUGUUUAGGGAUAAAGGAGCUGGAAUUCUCCCCUUAACCCUCAUAUGGUUCAGGAAAAAAAAAAAAAAAAAUAUAUAUAUAUAUAUAUAUAUAUAUAUAUAGAGAGAGAGAGAGAGAGAGAGAGAGAGAGAGAAGCCAUAAGGCACCCAUCUAUGAAGCUCCUCCCUUCCAGACAUUUCCUCUUUCUGGUUACUUUAGGGAGACUCCUAAAGUAAUCUCACCAAACCUCCCCUCUCCAUAGGGGCAAUUCCCCUGCAGUGGUUAUAAUUCACUAGGUCUUUACAGAAAUGAUCUAUUGGAAAGUUUUCCCCAAAAAUCUGUCAGAAAAGAUUAGAAUGGUUCAAGGGCCGUGAAGAGUGUGAUGGUUCUCUGGGGACAGGCUGAGUAGCCCCCAUUUCUGCUUUCCUAGUUCUGUAAGUGACUGUGCACUGGUGCAUUGUUUGAGGUCUUAGGUGACUAGGUGUGGCCCUUUGGGCAGAAUAUGAGCAAUCAGCUGGGGAUGUUUUAAAAAACCUUUUCAUUUUGAAAUCAUUUCAAACUUAUAAAAGAGUUGCAAGAAGAGAACAAAGAAGUCAGAGACCAUCCACCCAGACCCGUUGCUGUGACCUCAUUUCUUUUGUCACUUCCUCCCUCUCUGUAUGUGUAUGUGUUUUUCCAAAUCAUUUGAGGGCUCGGGGCAGACCCUUUACCCCUCAACACUUCAGCAUGUGUGGCCAAUGGAUGGAGACGUUCUCUCUCAAUACCACAGUGCUGUCGAAAUAAACAAAGAGCAACCAAGUGAGAAAGGCAAAGGCUAUUUAUUCUGAGCUUGCUGUGGCAAGGAGUCAGAUACCACCACUUGCGUGUUGGCAGAGAUGCAGAGACAGGCAGGGCAUGAGGACGCUUCACUGGGGACCAAGGGGAAGGUGCAGGCAUGUCUUAUUGGAGGCUGUCUCCAUGGGGAUGCUCAAUGCGCCACGAGCAUCCUAGGUGAUUGGCUAGGGGGCAUUUUGACUUUCUCUGGUUGGUCCUAGGUUGGAGGAGGGGAUAAAAAUCAGGGAAGCUGUCAGUUAUUUAUCAAGUCUUAGCCAUUAGGUGUUGAUUGUUACAGAAUUUAUUGUUUCAUUUCCUGGAUUGUCACUAGAGAUGACUAUCUGGCUUCCUACCAGUUUAAAUUAUACCAGGCUGGCCUUUUGGGCUGAUUGUCAUGAAGGAUUGUUUUCUUGGAUAGGCUGUUGCAGGUUGUCUGUCCACAUUCCAUUUUUACAUAUGGUUUGGCCAUUGUCCAUUUGUCCAUUUGGUCUUUCAGUAUAAUAAUCAAGUUCAGAUUUCACUUUGGUUUAACACUGUUGUCUAAUACACACUCCAUGUUUGAAUUUUGCCAAUUGCCCCAAUCACGUCCCCCAGGGCAGUUUCCCCUCUCCACUCCCCAGCCCAAUAUGCAUCACACCUGGCAUUUGGUGGUCACAUUGUUUUCAUUUUCUUUAAUCUCAAACAGCUCCUCAGUCUUUGUUUUUCACGGCGCUGACAUUUUUGAAGCAUAGAGUCUAGUUGGGGUGGGGACACAUAUGUCUGUGUGGGUUGAGGAAAUACAGCCACAGCCAGUGCUCCUGUGUGUUCUGCUCCUUAAUUUUUGUCCUAAAGACUCUGGGAAUUGUUUGGGUUUAUGCAGCCCAGGUAACUGGAUAAUCAGCCUUGGUCGGGGACUCGGAAAGUCACGUCUACAUGCAGGGCAGAGGGCAAGCUUGUAAACAGAGAGUGGUACCCACAGUCACGUCCUUUAGCAGCUAAUCCUUCCCAAGGCCAAGAGAGUCUGUGAAAUAUGUUUUGGUUCCAAUUUUGGAAAUACGUUCUUUCAGGGACUCGGCCUCCCUCUGCAUUUUAUAUACAUAAACAUUGGCUCUUUCCUCUUCCUUACCUCUCCUUUCUUCCUCCCCCUGCUCCAGUUUCUCAUCUCUGCCAAGAUGCCAGAAACAUUUUCCAGGCCUUGAGUGGAGAUGGUCAGGGUGUUGCUCCUCUGGUGUGGGGUACUGUGGCAGCCAUGUGUCCUGAGAUGAUUGAAAUAGACCUGUGUUCUCUAAGAACAUCAGGGAGUCAAAGAAAGUUUUUGAUGUAAGGAUUGACCCAAUGCAAUUUGUGAUCCUUGACUGUAUUUUGGGGCAGAGAGGGAAAUUGUUGUUUAAAAAAACAAAACCCAUUUGGAAGCUGGCCUGCCCCUCUGAAGACAUUCACCCCUCAGUAACCUCAAGCUCCUGUCAAAGAGCAGAUUUCUGGGUCUGUCAACAGCCUGGAUUGCAGCUGAAAUCCGCUCUAUCUUCAUCCCUCUUAAUACACUGAGCAAUAACAAGUUUUUAUUUAUGGGCGAUUGAGCUAAAAUAAGUUUGCUAUGUGCAGUGGUUAAGAUUCUGGUGUUUGGUGUCAGAUUGUCUGGCUGAAAUCUUGGCUAUCUCACCGUGUGUCCCUGGGCACAUUGCUUCACCUCAGGUUCCUUUGCAGUGAAAUGAGGACAAUGUGAGCUGUUUCACAGGGUAGGAUGAGGAUGAAGAGUCCUGAGAAAUGAUGGCGUCCUGGUUGGCAAAUCACACGUUGUCAGAGAAUGUUUAUUGUUACUGAUACUUUGCUUACCACUGAAGUGGAAAGCUAAGACUCGUUUGAUACAGAUCAUUUCUUGGUGACUACUGCAGGAAGAGUAUGGGUUUUGGUGAGUCUCAAUGUCCCCUGUAUGUAGAAUGGGAAUGGUUAACAGUCAGGUGAGUUUGUUGUGAGAAGCCUGGAGGGUCUAUGCGAUGCAUCAUAACUGUAAGGACUGACCAAAUGCAAUUUGUGAUCCAGCACAGUGUGUUUUGGAGUGGAAGCUGAAGAAGAUACCUGGAUGGUUAUUUUUUCUCUUCUCUUUUUCUCACCCCUCCUGGCCCCACACGAGUAUCAUUUUUCAAACAGGAAAGUGAGCAGCUAUUUUGAUAGGUGUCAGGGAUUACAGUGUCUGAGGAUCAGUAUAACUGUAUCUAUUUACCAUUCAAUGGGCAUCCAUAAAGGUCUAAAAGCCUUUUACCAGGGCAGACUCCUUGUAGUUUUAAUUAAGGCCCAGCCAAGAAAAAAAAUGUGAAAUAAGAAAAAUAAGUUUUAUUUGGACCUUAUCUACUCCUCUUUCCUUUUGGUUUCUCCUGAAAGAAAGCCUUGUGCUUCCCAUGGCUUAGCCUGGUCUCCCAUCAACUUCUUCUCCCUUGGGAGACCACAUCUUUGAAAUCUUUCCUUUUUCAUUUCUCUACUUACAUCACUUUUUUUUUGUAAGAAGAUGGGCACAUGAAACUUAGAGGCUCUUUUGAGUUAAGUGUGUAAUGGUCAAAUAAUAUGUCACUACUUUUAGAGAAUUAUUUGUAUUUAAACAGAGAAUCCUAGAUACUUUAGGGUAGAGAGAAUUUCCAGGGUUUGAAUUCCUUAUUUUCCUGUGUGGUCAAACCCCACAGAACCUGGGUUAAGUUCAGCUCUUCUGAUUUCCCAUUCAGAUUCCUUCCAGUCUCAGGUGCCAAGGUGGGCAGGAUGGGAGAAGAGCGCCAGUCUCUUGGACUGGUUUAGUGCCCCUCCUGCUCCACAAAGAGCCACAGCCAAGGGCUAUGAUGUGCCUUCAACGAUACGUAGCACCGCAAUGGACAGUAACAGCUUGGAAGGGUAAGUUUCAGGUUUUCAUUUUUAAUUUAAUUUUGGGGGGUGAUUCAAUUUUCUAGAUUGAAAAAAAGUUUUGUUCACUUGUGCAGGAGAAGAGCAGAUACUAAGUUAUGGGAAAGGGCAUCUCUAUUCCAACAUCCAGUCAUGUCAUUUACACCUGUAGUAGGAAUUCUCUCUCCUCCCCUCAGUACUGGGGUUCUUCUUGGAUACCCAAGGGAGGACCUGGACUCCUCUGGGGCCUCUGUGUGUGCCUGCUGGAAAGACGGCGCCAGUACUAUUUCCACUGUAGGUCACCCUGGGGGAUGACUCCUAGGAGGGCCCUGGGAAAUGGUGGGAGUGGAGCUGAAGGUAGUCAUGACACAGUCACCCAUUACCGCUAGGGAAGGAUUGGUGAGGGGUGGGAAGAAGGGUCCCCAGGGAGCGGGAACAGGGAAAGAUAUGAUUUGAGGCAAGCAGAGAGUCAAUGAGAGAAAGAUGGGAGAAACAGGAGAAAACACGUCUUUGAAGAAAGAGGAGAAAACACACAUUCAUGAAUAAGCCACUUCUGGGUAGGGCACCUGUCGAAAGCCAUCCGUGGGCUGUGUGUGGACUCCCCCCGCAUUGUAGCCUUUGAAUAGGAAAAUCUGGUAUUCGGGGACUUCCCGUGGCAAUCCCACAGGAUCAGAUUGCCCAAAUACAUGUGAAUUUCUAUUCAGCUCUGCCUGGCCCCACACAGCAUCAGGUUUGGGGUGACCUGCUGCAGCCAUACAACCUGUCAGAGAUGGGUGUGACCUGCCAAGAUGCCAAUCAACCUGAUGACUGCAAGACAUCAGGAAGCAAGACUCCACCCCUGUAACCUUAUCCCUGCCUUUGAUGUACCCCCUCAAAUAAACCACGGAACUGGGAACCAUUCUCUAGUUGUCUAACUCCAACUCCUGGG